RNAcentral lists this ribosomal RNA (326 nucleotides) under uncultured eukaryote. RNAcentral describes it as "partial 18S ribosomal RNA". It matches the Rfam family "Eukaryotic small subunit ribosomal RNA", at positions 1470 to 1796 of the family's 1831-position model. The record is from RNAcentral.
CCCUUAGAUGUUCUGGGCCGCACGCGCGCUACACUGAUGAAUUCAACGAGCACUAACCUGUGCAGAAAUGUUCGGGUAAUCUUGUGAAAUUUCAUCGUGAUGGGGAUUGAUUAUUGCAAUUAUUAAUCAUAAACGAGGAAUGCCUAGUAAGCGUGAGUCAUCAGCUCACGUUGAUUACGUCCCUGCCCUUUGUACACACCGCCCGUCGCUCCUACCGAUUGAAUGUGCUGGUGAAAAGUUCGGAUUGGGAAUAGGAGAUGGCAACGUAUCCUGUUUCUGAGAAAAUCUUUAAACCCUCCCAUUUAGAGGAAGGAGAAGUCGUAACA